This 403-nucleotide ribosomal RNA is filed under the name Bacillota bacterium. Its description in RNAcentral is "Firmicutes bacterium partial 16S ribosomal RNA". It matches the Rfam family "Bacterial small subunit ribosomal RNA", at positions 355 to 776 of the family's 1533-position model. Lineage: Bacteria; Bacillati; Bacillota. The record is from RNAcentral.
UCGGGAAUAUUGCACAAUGGGCGAAAGCCUGAUGCAGCGACGCCGCGUGAGCGAAGAAGGCCUUCGGGUCGUAAAGCUCUGUCCUAUGGGACGAUAAUGACGGUACCAUAGGCGGAAGCCCCGGCUAACUACGUGCCAGCAGCCGCGGUAAUACGUAGGGGGCGAGCGUUGUCCGGAAUGACUGGGCGUAAAGGGUACGUAGGCGGCCAGGUAAGUCAGGUGUGAAAGUCUAGGGCUCAACCCUAGUGAGCACUUGAAACUGCUUGGCUUGAGUCGAGGAGAGGAAGGUGGAAUUCCUGGUGUAGCGGUGAAAUGCGUAGAUAUCAGGAGGAACACCAGUGGCGAAGGCGGCUGCCUGGGGAGUCACUGACGCUGAGGCGCGAAAGCUAGGGGAGCAAACAGG